This 381-nucleotide ribosomal RNA is filed under the name uncultured bacterium. Its description in RNAcentral is "bacterial SSU rRNA". It matches the Rfam family "Bacterial small subunit ribosomal RNA", at positions 399 to 793 of the family's 1533-position model. The record is from RNAcentral.
GCGUGGGGGAAGAAGGCUCUUGGGUUGUAAACUCCUUUUCUCUGGGAAGAACAAUGUAACGGUAACAGAGGAAUCAGCAUCGGCUAACUCCGUGCCAGCAGCCGCGGUAAGACGGAGCGAUGCAAGCGUUAUCCGGAAUGAUUGGGCGUAAAGCGUCCGCAGGUGGCAGUUCAAGUCUGCUGUCAAAGACCGGGGCUUAACCUCGGAAAGGCAGUGGAAACUGAACAGCUAGAGUAUGGUAGGGGCAAAGGGAAUUCCUGGUGUAGCGGUGAAAUGCGUAGAGAUCAGGAAGAACAUCGGUGGCGAAGGCGCUUUGCUGGACCAUAACUGACACUCAGGGACGAAAGCUAGGGGAGCGAAUGGGAUUAGAUACCCCUGUAG